AGCCAACUGUCAAGUAUCUGGGAUUCAAUAUCUCUGAAGGUCAAAGGAUAAUGGGGCCUGAAAGAAAAGAGGCUGUAUGCCAAAUACCAACACCUAAGAAUAGAAGACAAGUGCGAGAAUUCUUAGGGGCAGCAGGCUUCUGUAGGAUAUGGAUUCCCAGUUAUGCGAUACUGGCGAAACCCCUCUAUGCCGCUAUUAAAGGCACGGAACAUGAUUCCUUCCUGUGGACCAUCGAACAGCAGAAAGCAUUUGAGGAUGUUAAGAAGGCAUUGAUGAGCGCCCCCACAUUAGGUCUACCUGAU
Molecule: non-coding RNA, 302 nt
Organism: Pelobates cultripes (western spadefoot toad)
Lineage: Eukaryota; Metazoa; Chordata; Amphibia; Anura; Pelobatidae
Source: the annotation of a GenBank genome assembly